CUAUCAGGAGGAUCGGGCAGGAUUUCAGAGCAACCGGAUAGCUUGGAUUUCCUGAAAGUACCUGACCAAGGAGCAGCUGGCCCUCAUUAGCUGAUGAGCUGGCAAAAUGCAUUCCUUUCUUCUUUCCCCUUCCUAAACUUUGGAGUGAUCACAGCUGUGACAGCCUGGGCAGCAUUCCCUCUGCUGCUUCAGAGCUGACUGUGACUCAAGUCCAUAAACGGCCCUGGAAACUGAGGCAACUUAAGAGAGAUGCAGUAUCACUCAGCUUAGUCACAAGAAUGCGUUCGCAGGCAGACGACCAACCGGCCCCCGCCAGCGGGGGGCAGACCCAAACCGCAGCCCAAACCCAAGCCUCAGGUCCCGCAGUGCAGGG
This is a non-coding RNA of Tinamus guttatus (white-throated tinamou), 373 nucleotides long. Lineage: Eukaryota; Metazoa; Chordata; Aves; Tinamiformes; Tinamidae. The record is from RefSeq and is a predicted model, not a curated record.